RNAcentral lists this long non-coding RNA (5228 nucleotides) under Sus scrofa (pig). Its description in RNAcentral is "lncRNA (ENSSSCG00015030339.1)". Lineage: Eukaryota; Metazoa; Chordata; Mammalia; Artiodactyla; Suidae. The record is from RNAcentral.
UUUUUUUUUUUUUUUCAGGGCUGCACCUGAGUCAUAUGGAAGUCCCCAGGCUAGGGGUCCAAUCAGAGCUAUAGGGGCCAGCCUACACCACAGCCACAGCAACAGCAGAUCCGAGUCAUCUCUGCGAACUACACCAGAGCUCACAGCAAUGCUGGAUCCUUAACCCAGUGGGCAAGGCCAAGGAUCAAACCUGCAUCCUUAUGGAUACUAGUCGUGUUCGUUUCUACUGAGGCACAAUGGAAACUCCCUAACCUCCACUUCUAAGGCAUCUACCACCCUGAAUAGUAGACUUAGAACCAGGACCAAAAUGCUUGACCCCCAGGCCCUGACUUAUCAUCAGCAGGGACUGAGGAGGAGCUAAUGAAACUCAGCCUUUUUUCUAAGCAUUUUCAUAUAUCAUAUUAACUCCUUUAAUAUCCUCAACUCAGUGAAGUAAUAUUGUAAAGGAGCAGGACCCUAUGGAACCUUCCUGAGACAAAUUCCCGGCCUCCCCCCACUUCCCCCUCUGCUGCCCGCCCAUGUCCACUGUCUGCCUCUUGUCUGUAGAAAAACUUUUGUCAAAGAAUGAAUUUAGUCAGAGAAGUGAGAAAAUGCAAAAAGAGAGGAAAACAAAAAAGACGAAAUAAUAAUAGUUUAGCCAUUAAACAAAGUCGAGGACCUUUCAUUUCUCCUCAAGGGCUGUAGAUAAUAUUCUGAGCCACAUCCUUUGAGCUAUUUUGCAGAUACAAAACCCCUACCCAGUGGAAGACGUUAACAACAUGAUGACCAGACCUAUAGCCAUGACGUAAGCUGCUCUAUGUCACACAAUUCCAAGAACUGGCCUCAACGAAAUGGGAACAAACAAGCCCUGAAACUGAAGAUUACCUGAACCUAAAACAAUCAAGAUGACACUGAUCAGACCACUGCAUGACCAAUUUCAAGAUGACUGUCAGAGCCUACUGUGCCAUUUCUGCACAAAGCUCUCUCCGCCUAUACUCCUCUUAAAAAGCUCUUGCUCCCUGAUUGGCAAUGAAGAGUUGGCUUUUGGACACAAGUCCACCUUCUCCCCAGGUUGCCAGCUCCCUGAAUAAAGAGCCUUCCUUUCCUACCAACACUUGUCUCUCAAGAAUUCNGUUGGCUUUAGAGCAUCAAGCAGCCAAACCUGAAUUUGGUAACAAUAUCAUUAUGGUCGUAUUAGAAAACUGAGGCACAGAGAGGUUAGGUUACUUGCCUAAGAUUACCCAGCUACUCACCAGUGGAGCUAGGAUGUGAACUUGGGCCCUCUGAGUCUCAGAACCCCAGGGAUAACAUCAACUACUUUAGGAAUUCUGGGCCACAUCCCCACUGAGUUUUGUCUCAUACUCCCCCCUGACAUGAAAUACACACCCACUUAAAAACCCUCUUUCCGAAGACUCAGACUCUGACCUGACCAUUUCUCUUUAGUCUCUCUUUAAAAAGCAGAAGUGGAUUAUUGCAUCCAUUUGGGGGACCCCCUAGAAAUAUGUGGAGACCCUGGCAUUGCUGCCUUCCUUCCAGGGCCUAGGCCCCUUGUCUGCCUCAGGUUAGGACACAAGGCCCCACAUCAGGAAUGCAUGGUUGUCCCCCAGAUGCCAUGCCUGCACCGCUUCCCUCCGGAGGAGCCAAGUUCCCCUCCAUCACCCUUUACGGCGCUUUCAUCCAUUAACUCACCUAAACCCUGUGCCUGCACUUGGCCAAUCUGCCAUUAACAAAGGAUGCCUCUUGGCCUGCAGAACUCACUUUGAAGCCACCACCGCAUCACAUCAGAUUUUUUUUUCUGUCCUUAACGUGUCUUAUCUUUGAACAUCUACUACUUUGUUUCCCAAGAGUCUCUGGAACUAGGGUGGCCUGUGUGUUUUUACCAUGAUUUCCCACUAAUUUUUCCCCCCUCACCAGUCUUUAUGCUGAUGAGACUUGUGAAAUUUCUAAUCUGGAGAGGGGGCGUCUCCCUCACGCCCGUGGGUGAUGGGGUUUUCUGGAUUUUGCAUGACUUUGCCAUGGAUACCCUUCUCUCACCUUCACCCACAGGAAACUCAUCCACACCUGACUUGUAUAUUUCAGGUUAUUGAGCCACGUCUGUGCCCUUUUCUCUAGGGCCUGGUCAGGGGCAUAAGAGACGAUCACUUCAAGCCUGUCUCUGGGGAGCUUCUGUGUUUACCGGGACACAAUUGACAAGACUGUUUGGGUGAUGAGCAUAAAAAAAAAAAAAAAGUGGAAAAAAGAUCUAACAAAGGGCUUCAUUUAGGGAGGAAGAAAAGCAGGCUUCGGGUGGGGCUGUGGGAUUCAAGCGGCCAGACAGGCUUCCUGGAGAAGUUGUCAAGGCUGAAAUUCUCCCAACCAGAGCCCUCACCCCUCAGACCCACAGCCUCCUUUUAUCGCCAGGUUUGUCACGCCCCAUUACUAUCCAAGGAUGGAAAGCCGAGAUAAUAUAACCAACCUAUCCACAUAAUUUCCCCCAAAAUCAAUAUAUUGACCAACUGUAAUAUAAAGGAGAAAUCAAAGGAAAGUAAGUUAUAAUAAAAUAAUAUAUAUUUCAAUAUGUAAAUGCUCAGCAACAAUGAAGACAUGGAAUCCUUGCACCUAAACAUAAAACCACACGAUAGGGCAGCUGUCAGUGUCUCCUGCCAUGGUGCAGGGGUUGUGCUGGUGACUCAAGGGCCAGAAGUGUUGUGCCCACAGGAACAGCUGUUUGUGAAACAGUGAACAACUCUUGGUAGGAUUCAGAACAGAGAACAAUUUUCCCCUCAAUCAUCACAGGAGCUGCCUUCCCAGAAAACUGAGUGUCUAUCAAAACCAUGCAAUGGUAUUCUGUGUGUAAAACCAAGCUAGGUUUAAACGCACGGCAUUGUAAACAGGCUUUCCUGCCCCCAGGCUCACAGUCAAGCCUGGCACCCUUCUGCCGGUUGUGCAGGUUGUGCACUGCACAGCCACUGACUUCAUCAAGUAAGUGAAUGGUGCCCCCUAGGGUUGUGGAGUCCACAGCAACUUGCUCGAAAUUUUCAAAGUGUGCAUGGGAGGAGGGAGACUUCUUCGGUGCAUGAGACUGACCUGCACACUGCAGUACAAAGAGAGAACUCCUGCCCCCCGCCACUGCCCCCCCCACAAACAAAAUGCCAGCACUGUCACAACAAAUUACCCCCACAAAUGUCCAAACUAGCCCCUGGGCAGCACUGUGUUAGAGAGCUGCAGCUCCAGCCUCUCCUGCCACAGGUAGUCUUCAGUCUCUUCUUGAAUCCUCUUUAUUGCUUUCUCCAUUCAUCUUUUCCUUCCUGCUCCUGCCCCAGGUCAGCCUUCAUGGCUUCAUUCCUGGACCAGCAGAGGCAUCCAUCCACCUGGGUUCCCUGCUUCUGGUCUCGGCCCCUCCAGUUCAGCCAGGGAUGCUGCCCAGCACUGCAGUCCAAAGACCUUCCUCUCUCUCACCCCUGCACUCAGAAUUCAGUUCUACACUGACAGCAUUUCUUGCUCUGACCCCCAUCUUUCCACAGUAAUCUUUCCUCCCAGCCCCUCCCAUUCUCCAAGCAUUCCCACCUCCAUACCUGUGCUCCCACCAUUCCCACUUCUUGGCCAACCCAUCCCUGAUCCUGCCUCCUCCUCCUUCUCUGCCCUUAGGUGCCCACUGAUUCACUAGCCUUCCCAGACAUGCAUGGUCAGAAGCAAUGAGCCUCUGGGGUGUUUCAUGUGUAACUCUUGGAAAUGCACAGCACCUUUGUAGAGUGUUUUUCUCCCUCUGUAAAUUAGACUCUCUCCCAGAGCAAGGACCAGGACUUACUGCUCUUGGGCCCCCCCCCACUGGCAAUCCAUGUGACUCAAGGUUGGUUGUCCCUAGGGUAGGGACAGCCUAGGAGGAGCAUGGAUUUAACCAGUGGGUGCUGGGUGUCCUGUGGCUUCCUGAGUGGGAACUGAUCUGAAGAGCUUCGAUGGAUUGGUCUGGUGAGGUGGGGUACAUAGUAUUGGGGCAGAGAGUGAAGGAUGCCGCCAUUACAGCACGAAAGGGUAGUGGCUGGUCUUCUGCGUGGAAGAGCCAAUCAGAGGAAGCCCUGAACCCACUCCCAAGGCUUAACUUCCUCUAUGCCCCCUGAGGCUGAGUACAUAUCAAAAGAACCUGAGAAUCUGAUUUUUUAAAUACAGAUGCCCAGGGCCCGGGCUGGAGAGUCUGAUUUGACAAAUAUGGAUGGUGCUUGUACUUGCAUAUAUUGGGGGCAGGGGUGUUAAUCUCUGAGGCAACUCUAGACAGAGUCAGGAGAGAGCGCUGGCUGUUGAACAGACAAGACUGGUCACCUCCUGGGCAAGGCCCUGAGCAAAAGAGGUGGGGGCAUCUAUGGCCUUAAGGCCUAGUCCCUCGAGAAGGAGUCCCAGAAGCCCACAGAGAAUCAGUAAGCCACAAACCGGGACGUCACCCAAGACCUGGGCCCAGGGCAGCUCCAACCCUCCCGACGAGACAAAGGUCCCCCAAUACCACCCCAAAGGGCUGUUCACACUGGGCCUGCCUCCCCGGCCAGGGGCUGUGAAUAAGCCUGGCUAUGGGGUGCAGGUGCUCCUGUGUCCCCGCUGCUGGGCUACUGGGCUGCCAUGGGAGGCUGGAUGGGACAGGCCUGGCGAAUACUUUAACAGAGAAGUGAGGGGUACACAUGCAAGCGUGCAAGUGCAUGCGUGUGUGUCCGUGCACUCUCGCUGCUCCUACUGCUGCCACUGCUGUGUCUGGCAGAAAAGCAGGCCUUGAAAGCCCUCACUGUUGCUUCAUCACACCCAGGGGUGGGGACUUGCCCAAAGCUAGGGGUAUGGGUGGGAGUGGGGAGGGGCAGGUGGAGAGGGAGGACUCUGAGAUUUUAUUCUGGCCAUUUUGAAUAGGACCAGGUAGGGGGGCAGGAAAGGGGAGUACCAACUCCCCGCUGAAGCAGAGCAGUGGGCCCCAACCCCCACACAGGGCCUGACUCUAAUGUCUUCUGAUGGGACAAAUUGGUGAGCGCGACUAUUAGCUGGGUGACAUCAAAAGGCAUUAAUCUCUGGUUCCCGAGCAGGACCAGCACCACAUUAGUGCCUCGCACCCAGUCAUUAUUAAGACUUUAGCCCAAGGGUGUAAUAAAUGUUUUAUGGCAUGCAAACCAAGGUAAUGGAAUGCAAAUCCCAUAAUAUAGCCAUACAUUUAUUUUCUAAUGGAGCAAAUGAUGAUGUAUUUUAUCUGGGAAGAGCUGCCAAUAGGGUCUGCCUGGGAAAUGUGAAGUUACCGACCC